GACGAACGCUGGCGGCGUGCCUAAUACAUGCAAGUUGAGCGCUGAAGGUUGGUACUUGUACCAACUGGAUGAGCAGCGAACGGGUGAGUAACGCGUGGGGAAUCUGCCUUUGAGCGGGGGACAACAUUUGGAAACGAAUGCUAAUACCGCAUAAAAACUUUAAACACAAGUUUUAAGUUUGAAAGAUGCAAUUGCAUCACUCAAAGAUGAUCCCGCGUUGUAUUAGCUAGUUGGUGAGGUAAAGGCUCACCAAGGCGAUGAUACAUAGCCGACCUGAGAAGGUGAUCGGCCACAGUGGGACUGGGACACGGCCCAAACUCCUACGGGAGGCAGCAGGAGGGAAUCCUCGGCAAAGGACGAAAGGCUGACCGAGCAACGCCGCGGGAGGGAAGAAGGUUUUCGGAUCGGAAAACUCGGUUGGUAGAGAAGAACGUAAGGGAGAGGGGAAAGCUCAUCAAGUGACGGUAACUACCCAGAAAGGGACGGCUAACUACGUG
RNAcentral lists this ribosomal RNA (497 nucleotides) under uncultured bacterium. Its description in RNAcentral is "partial 16S ribosomal RNA". It matches the Rfam family "Bacterial small subunit ribosomal RNA", at positions 28 to 507 of the family's 1533-position model. The record is from RNAcentral.